Molecule: non-coding RNA, 9172 nt
Organism: Myodes glareolus (Bank vole)
Lineage: Eukaryota; Metazoa; Chordata; Mammalia; Rodentia; Cricetidae
Source: RefSeq, a predicted model, not a curated record
AGGGAGAUUCCUUGAAGGGACAGGGCGUGCGUCCGGUGAGAUCUUAUCAGAGUAAAGCAGCCCAGGCACUGGCCUGGUACCUGGCUUUCCACUCUCACCUCGGAGCGAAGUCGGCGUUACCGGGACAGCGGGAGAAACUGGAUAGAGGGCGGGGGCUAUGUGUUCGCCAGCCCGCAUGCGCGGAGCCACAAUGGUCGGACUACAACUCCCAGAGGAGUCACGCGGAGGCCGCCUACCCCGGCGCCAUCUUGAAAUCUGAUGCCUCAUCGCCCGGGCUUUGCGUCAGCCCUGAGCCGCCACUGCUGUCCGGGAGCCCAGCCUGCCCGCCUGGGAGGACGUAGAGGACACGGCUGCCCGCGGCAGAGACAGCUGGAGGGGCCUUGGCAGCGUCCGCGCUCUGCUCGCACCCUGUCACUCAGCAUCCCCCCCCCACUCGGCGUUCUGUGCCCGCCCCCAGCCCGAGGGGCGGGGCUGGUCGUGUGGUACCCAGAGCCUGCGCGCUCUGAAGUGCGCCCCUACCCAGUGAGGACCCCAGGCAGGGCCAUGCCAGCCACAGACGAUCUAGGUGGGAAGAGGAACGCAUCCCAGAGCCAGUGAGCAGCCCACCGCUGUGACCGUUACAGAGAAGAAGCUCGGCACCCUCCCGGAGUAAAGAUGAAAGAGAUUUGCAGGAUCUGUGCCCGGGAGCUGUGUGGAAACCAGCGGCGUUGGAUCUUCCAUACCGCUUCCAAGCUCAACCUCCAGGUUCUGCUUUCGUACGUCCUAGGCAAAGAUGUCACUCGUGAUGGCAAAGCCGAGUUUGCUUGCAGCAAGUGUGCUUUCAUGCUCGAUCGCAUAUAUCGAUUCGAUACUGUUAUCGCCAGGAUCGAAGCCCUUUCUCUUGAGCGCUUGCAGAAACUGCUGCUGGAAAAGGAUCGCCUCAAGUUCUGCAUCGCCAGUAUGUAUCGGAAGAAUAACGACGACUCUGGCGAGGAGAUCAAGGCGGGAAGUGGGACGGUUGACAUUUCCAACUUACCAGAUAUGAGGUACUCUGCGCUGCUCCAGGAAGACUUUGCUUAUUCAGGGUUUGAGUGCUGGGUAGAAAAUGAGGAUCAGAUUCAGGAGUCACACAGCUGUCAUGGUUCUGAAGGCCCCGGAAAUCGACCCAGGAGAUGCCGUGGUUGUGCAGCGUUGCGGGUUGCGGAUUCUGACUAUGAAGCCAUUUGUAAGGUGCCUCGAAAAGUGGCCAGAAGUAUUUCUUACGCCCUCUCUAGCAGGUGCUCUACGAGCAUUUGCACCGAAGAACCGGCAUUGUCAGAGGUUGGGCCGCCUGACUUACCAAGCACAAAAGUAGCCCCGGAUGGGGAAAGCAUGGAGGAAGGGACCCCGGGCUCCUCUGUGGAAUCUUUGGAUGCUAGUGUCCAGGCUAGUCCUCCACAACAGAAGGAUGAGGAAGCAGAGAGAAGUGCGAAGGAACUUCUAAAGUGUGACUAUUGUUCGGAUGAACAGGCUCCACAGCAUUUCUGUAACCACAAACUGGAGCUAGCUCUCAGCAUGAUUAAAGGUCUUGAAUAUAAGCCCCUUCAGAGUCCCCGAGGGAGCAAGCUUCCAAUUCCAGUGAAAUCCAGCCCACUUGGAGCCAAGCCUGGCCAUAUCAUGACAAAUGGAGUUAGUUCCAGUUUCCUUAACAGGCCCUUGACACCUGUGAGUUAUUCCUUGGAGUUUGCGGACCUGCUGGAGCUAUGGGAUGAUCUCUAUGAAGAGUAUUUGCCACUCCAAAUCCAGCCCCAUCCUGUAAAGUUACCUAAGCAACAAAAGCUGGACUCAGAUGGGACCGCCGUAACCCAGCCUGUUACUGACUCCCGCUUGGAAGAGCUCCAGGAGAAAGUGCAGCAAACAGAGGCCACCAACAAGAUUCUUGAAGAGAAACUGAAUGAAAUGAGCUAUGAACUAAAGUCUGCGCAGGAGUCAUCUCAGAAGCAAGAUGUGACGAUUCAAAGCCUCAAGGAAUCGCUAAAAAGCAAGCAAAGUGAGACCGAGGAGCUGUACCAGGUGAUUGACGGUCAAAAUGGCACAAUGGCAAAGCUUCGAGAAAUGCUGCACCAAAGCCAGCUCGGACAGCUCCACGGCUCAGAGGGCGGUGCCCCAAGUCAGCACCAGGUGGCCCUGCUUGACCUUCAGAGUGCCCUGUUCUGCAGCCAGCUCGAGAUCCAGAAGCUCCAGAGGCUGCUGCGUCAGAAGGAGCUGCAACUGGCUGACGUCAAGCGAUGCAUGCAGUUUGUCGAGGCUGCGGCGCAGGAGAGAGAGCAACAGAAGGAAGCUUCUUGGAAACACAACCAGGAGAUACGAAAAGCUUUACAACACCUCCAAGGAGAACUGCACAAUAAGAACCAACAGAUUCAUGCACUGGAGAUGGAAAAAUACAAUGAGAUUCGAAUCCGGGAACAAAGCAUCCAGCACCUCCAUCAAAGCCUGAGUCUCAAAGAACAGCUGCUCCGGGAGUUUCAGGAGCUCCUACAGUAUCGAGAUAAUGCAGACAAAGCUCUGGAAACAAAUGAGAUGUUGCUUGAGAAAAUGCAGCGGCAGAUACAAGACCGAGCCGCGGAUCUGGAGCGGGCUAUAGAUGAGAAGUUCUCCGCUCUAGAGGAGAAGGACAAGGAAUUGCAGCAGCUUCAUCGUGCGGUGAGAGAGCGAGACCAUGAUUUAGAGAGACUGCGUAGUGUCCUGUCCGCCAAUGAAACUACCAUGCAAAGUAUGGAGAGUCUCCUGAGGGCCAAAGGCAUGGAGUUGGAACAGUUAACUGCCACCUGUCAAAACCUGCAGUGGCUGAAGACAGAACUGGAAACCAAGUCUGGCCGCUGGCAGAAGGAACAGGAGAGUGCCCUCCAGCAGUUGCAAACAUCCCUGCGCAACAAGGACAAAGAAAUGGAGGAACUCCGGGCAACACUACUCUGCAAACUCGAGCCCUGCCAGAGUGAGAUAGCCGAGGAGCUGUGCCAGCACCUGCAGCAGAAAGAGCGGAUGCUGCAGGACCUUCUGAGUGAUCGGCGCAAACAAGCUGCGGAGCACGAGAUGGAGAUCCAGGGGCUGCUCCAGGCGAUGAGCACCAGGGAGCAGGCGAGCCAAGCAGCUGCAGAGAAAAUAGCGCAAGCCUUCCUGGAAAGAAACUCAGAAUUACACGCCCUACGCCAGUACUUAGGGAGAGACCUUGGCCCCUCUCGGGCGCCCCACUUAAACCAGCAAGUUGAAGUGGCUUUCGUCAGCCCCCACCUGGGAGAUCAGACUGAUCAAAGUUCCAUGCAGGUGCCCUCUGGAGACGAUAGCACCUCGCUGACUGCUAGGGAGGAUGCCAGCAUGCCCAGGUCCAUGUUAGGAGACUCGGACACAGUUGCAGGGCUGGAGAAGGAACUGAGUAAUGCCAAGGAGGAACUCGAGCUCAUGGCUAAAAAAGAAAGAGAAAGCCAGAUAGAACUGUCUGCCCUACAGUCCAUGAUAGCUGUCCAAGAGGAUGAACUGCAGGUGCAGGCUGCUGACUUGGAGUCGCUGACCAGGAACAUACAGAUCAAAGAAGACCUCAUAAAGGAUCUGCAGAUGCAGCUCGUCGACCCUGAAGACAUACCAGCCAUAGAACGCCUGACCCAAGAGGUCUUACUUCUUCGGGAAAAAGUUGCUUCAGUAGAACCCCAGGGUCAGGAAGUUUCGGGAAACCAGAGACAACAGCUGCUGCUGAUGCUAGAAGGACUGGUAGAUGAACGGAGUCGGCUCAACGAGGCCCUGCAAGCCGAGAGGCAGCUGUACAGCAGCCUGGUCAAGUUCCAUGCUCAUCCGGAGAACUCUGAGAGAGACCGAACUCUGCAGGUGGAACUGGAAGGGGCCCAGGCAUUACGCAGUCGGCUAGAAGAAGUUCUCGGAAGAAGCCUGGAGCGCUUAAACAGACUGGAGAGCCUGGCCGCCAUUGGAGGUGCUGCGGCAGCCGACGACACCGAAGACGCAAGCACGGAGUUCACAGACAGCAUCGAGGAGGAGGCGGCACACAACAGCCACCAGCAACUCAUCAAGGCAUCUUUGGAGAAAAACCUGACCAUGGACACCCAGGAUGUAUGUCUUCAGCCCCCAUCCCCAGCAGCCCCGUCCCCAGCAGGAGGGGAUGGCAACAGGUGUCUUCAGGAAGAAACACUCCACCUGAGGGCUGAAGUCCGCCAGCACUUGGAGGAGAAGAGAAAGGCCGAGGCGGAACUGAAGGAGCUGAAGGCUCAGAUGGAAGAAGCCGGGUUCUCCUCCGUGUCUCACAUCAGGAACACCGUGCUGAGCCUCUGCCUCGAGAAUGCAGAGCUGAAGGAGCAGAUGGGAGAAGCCAUGUCUGAUGGAUGGGAGGUCGAGGAAGACAAGGAGAAGGGCGAGGUGAUGGCAGAGACGGCGGCCGCCAAAGGGGGUCUGGGUGAGGGCAGCCUUCAGGCCGAGUUCAGGAAAGUCCAGGGGAAACUGAAAAGCGCCUACAACAUCAUCAACCUCCUCAAAGAACAGCUGGUCCUGAGCGGCUCGGAAGGGCACGGCAACGCGACGCCAGAGCUCCUUGUGCGCCUGGCCAAGGAGGUCGACAGAAUGAACAUGAGCCUGCCUUCCCCUGGGAAGCAUCAACACCAAGAGCCGGCGAAUGUGACCACCAGGCCUGGCCCCAGACCCCAGAGCCUCAAUCUUGAGGCAGCCAUCUCUGUGGAUGCCCUCCAACUGGAGAACAAGCCCCGGGCCCAAGACUCUGGCCACCAGGCAGAAUUUAGCCUCCCGGGGUCCACCAAGCACCUGCGUUCGCAGUUGGCCCAGUGCAGACAAAGAUAUCAAGACCUGCAGGAGAAACUGCUCAUCUCAGAGGCCACCGUAUUUGCCCAGGCAAACCAGCUGGAGAAGUACAGGACCAUCCUCAGUGACUCCCUGGUGAAACAGGACAGCAAGCAAAUCCAGGUGGACCUUCAAGACCUGGGCUAUGAGACUUGUGGCCGGAGCGAGAACGAAGCUGAACGUGACGAGACCACCAGCCCCGAGUGUGAGGAGCACAACAGUCUGAGGCCCAUGGUGCUCAUGGAGGGGCUGUGCUCUGAUCAGGGGUACCUGGACUCUGUCCUGGUCGGCCCGCCUGCGAAGAAGCCUUUGGAGAACAAACCGGGGAGGCAGGAAGAGUUCCAGGCACAUGGAAAUUCAGACGACAGCUCUGUCCUGAGGAAAGACAUCAGAGAUCUGAAAGCCCAGCUCCAGAAUGCCAACAAGGUCAUCCAGAACCUCAGGAGCCGGGUCCGGUCCCUCUCUGCUACAAGUGACUACUCAUCCAGUCUGGAGAGACCCCGGAAGCUGAGAACUGUCGCAACCCUCGAGGGGUCUUCACCUCACAGUGUCACCGAUGAGGAUGAAGGGUGGCUGUCUGAUGGCACUGGGGCUUUUUACCCUCCAGGGCUCCAGGCCAAAAAGGAUCUGGAGAGUCUCGUCCAGAGAGUAUCCCAGCUGGAGGCCCAGCUCCCCAAAACUGGACUAGACGGGAAGCUGGCGGAGGAGCUGAGGUCUGCCUCGUGGCCUGGAAAAUACGAUUCGUUGAUCCAGGAUCAGGCCCGAGAACUGUCAUAUCUGCGUCAAAAAAUCCGAGAAGGACGGGGUAUUUGUUAUCUUCUGACCCAACACGCGAAAGAUACAGUAAAAUCCUUUGAGGACCUCCUCAGGAGCAAUGACAUUGACUACUACCUGGGCCAGAGCUUCAGGGAACAGCUUGCCCAAGGUGGGCAGCUGACGGAGAGACUCACCAGCAAACUCAGCACCAAGGAUCAUAAGAGUGAGAAAGAAGCAGCUGGGCUUGAGCCGCUGGCCCUCAGGCUCAGCAGGGAGCUCCAGGAGAAGGAGAAAGUGAUUGAAGUCCUACAGGCCAAGCUGGACACCCGGUCUCUCUCACCUCGCAGCAGCCACACCCUCUCCGACUCCCAGCGCUCUGCCAGCAGCACCUCCUUCCUGUCUGACGAGAUAGAAUCCUGCUCUGACAUGGAUGUAGCCAGCGAGUACACACACUAUGAAGAAAAGAAGCCUUCACCUGGUCACUCAGAGUCCAUCCAUCAUUCGAGUCAUUCUGCUGUGUUGUCUUCCAAACCAUCAGCAACCAGUGCAUCUCAGGGGCUCAAGGUCGAGUCCAGCAACAGCCCCAUCAGCUUGCCAACUCCCCAGAAUCCCCCCAAGGAGGCCAGCCAGGCCCAUCCAGGCUUUCAUUUUAACUCCACACCCAAGCCGGCUAGCCUUUCCCAGACACCAAUGCGCUCAGCUCCACCCAGCUUCCUGCCUUUCAGGCCCUCUGGCCCUCCCCUUCUCGGUUGCUGUGAGGCACCCGUGGUGUCCUUGGCUGAGGCUCAACAGGAGCUGCAGAUGCUGCAGAAGCAACUGGGAGAAAGUGUUAGCAUGGCUCCUCCUGCCUCCACAGCGACACUGCUGAGCAACCAUCCAGAAGCUAGCUCUUCCCGCUACCUCAACCCCACUCAGCCCCACUCUCCUACAAGGGGCAUCAUAGAACUGGGAAGAAUCCCAGAGCCUAGCUACCUGGGUGGCAGCGGCCAGUGGGACAUGAUGAGGCCUCAGAAAGGAAACAUCUCUGGGGAUCUGUCCUCCGGCUCCUCGCUGUCCCAGCUUAACUCCAAACCCACAGGGGCCGACCUGUUGGAAGAGCAUCUUGGUGAGAUCCGGAACCUGCGCCAGCGCCUGGAGGAGUCCAUAUGUGUCAAUGACCGGCUGCGGGAGCAGCUGCAGCACAGGCUCAGCUCCACGGCCCGGGAAAGCGGUUCUACCUCUCACUUCUACAGUCAGGGCCCGGAGUCCAUGCCUCAACUCUACAAUGAGAACAGAGCCCUAAGGGAAGAAAACCAAAGCCUGCAGGCUCAGCUCAGUCACGCUUCCAGAGGACACUCCCAGGAAGUGGACCGCCUGCAGGAGGCUCUGCUCGCCUCUCAAGCCCAGCUUCAAGAGCUGGAGAAGGAGCUGGAGCAGCAGAAGGCUGAGCGGCAGCAGCUGCUGGAAGACUUGCAGGAGAAGCAGGAAGAGAUCUUGCACUUCCGGGAAGAGAGGCUGUCCCUCCAGGAAAAGGACUCCAGCAGGCUGCAGCACAAGCUGGCUUUCCUGCAGCAGCAGUGCGAGGAGAAGCAGCAGCUCUCGGCCUCCCUGCAGUCAGAGCUCCAGAUCUACGAGUCACUCUACGGAAGCCCUAAGACGGGCAUGAAAGCUUUCAGCCUAGAUUCCUGUUGCCAAGUCCCCGGUGAGCUGAGCUUCCUAGUGGCAGAGAUCCGGGCCCUGCGAGCCCAGUUGGAGCAGAUCAUCCAAGUGAACAACGGUCUACGACUGCAGCUGGAACAGCAGCUGGAUCGUGGUGCUGGCAAAGCCACUCUCAGCCCCUCCUCUGUCGGCCAGAACGUCUCAGCCGACGUGGAGCCUGCACACACACAGCCACUCUUUCAAGGUUCAGCUGCUUCCCCUCCAGUCCGGGAUGUUGGCUUGAGUUCUCCCGCCACGGUCCUCCCCAGCUCUUCUUGCUCAGUUCCUGACUCAGACGCUGCCACCAUCACCAGGACAAAUGAUGAUUCUGCAGCAAUGAAGGACCCUUCCAAGUUGGAGGGUGAUGCUAUUGAUGGUGCCUUUGCCAACAAACAUGGCCGGCAUGUCAUCGGCCAUGUGGAUGACUACAGUGCUCUACAGCAACAGAUUGGGAAAGGCAAGCUCCUGGUCCAAAAGAUACUGUCUCUUGCGAGGCCAGCAUGCAACAUCCCUGGCCCUGAAGCUCAGGGCGCAGAGGUGCCAGGUAACAAAAGUGUCCGUGAGCUGCGGAGCAGUGCCAGUGCUCUGAGCCACACCCUGGAAGAGUCUGCGUCUCUCCUCACCAUGUUCUGGAGAGCAGCCUUGCCAAGCUCGCCUGGGCCGGGACUGGUAGGCAAAGUGGGUCAACUGAUAGAGAAGGAACUCCUGGAUCUGCGAGCCCAAGUGUCCCAACAGGAACAGCUCCUCCAGAGAACUAAUGAGCGUCUGAAGACGGCUAAGCAGAAGAAGAAGACCAUGGAGCAGUACAUCGUGAACCACCUGACCAGGACCCAUGAUGUCUUGAAGAAAGCACGGACUAACUUAGAGCCUCUGUAGAACAGCCCUUACAAGAUUGUCUCUGUGCGGCCAUAUUCCUGCCCCAGCAAAGGUGAAAUCCUUCAGGGCUCGGUCACACACCUCAGCCUUGUGACCCUUGCCUUCCAGGAGCCACACAAGAAGCGAAGCCAGAGGUUCUCAGAGCAGAAGGAAGGGUGGGCCUGCCCUCUUGUGCAGUUGCCUAUCUGCUGAGGAAUACCUGGCCCCGCCCCUCCCCUGCUGAAGGUCCGGAAAAGGGCUCAGAGAUGGGUCCACAUGGGACAGACAGGAAGGAGAGUGGCAUCCUGGCAGUGAUGAUUAUGGUUUGCCAAGGCCCACUGGGCCUAGCACUAAGCGAAACUGAUGUAGACUGCGUAGAAGGCCUUGCGGCACUGCUUCCAAACAGCCUCCAUGGCAUGGCGCCUGCCCUGUCGGUUCAUGCCUCAGCAUCUGUCCUCAAGACCGCCAACUCAGGGGAACCAGGACCUUGCUGCCCACAAAGGGAUGUGUGGUCCCAACACCGAAGCUCCUCAGACAGUUGUCAAAGCACACUCUCGGGUGACAGUGCCCUGCUGGACAGUGUUCGGGCUCAGCAAGCUCCCCUCACAAACCCGCUCUUAACCCAGGCCAGCCCUGUGGGUCAAGCCAGUUAGUCCUUUGGUCUGUAUCACCACACCAGAGUCUACAUAUCAAAUAUGCUGACUUCUAGGUGCCCCCUGCUUAGCCUAGCCCCUUCUGUUUCUUACAUGAUCUCAAGUUGAAUUGGCUCCCUUAAAUGUGCUGUCCCUUAUAAUCCUCAGGGGAGUCGGGGACUGGAGGCCGCACCGAGCCUACUGAAUGUCUAGCAUACAGCACACCGGUACCUCUUUGAAUGGCAUGGGUGAGGCCUGUUCUGUCCUGAAGGCUGUGUGUCUUCACAGUGCUCAUAGGAUGUGGGUGUGUGUAUAAAUGUAUAAUAUAGAUUUAUAUGUUGCUAUGGCCAUGUGUUGUAGGCCGUAAUGUGUAGACAGGUGAGAAGACACUCUGCAGUCUUUCUGAUGGCGAUUAAAGCGAGCUGUGUAUAAAGUAA